This is a long non-coding RNA of Callithrix jacchus (white-tufted-ear marmoset), 2068 nucleotides long. Lineage: Eukaryota; Metazoa; Chordata; Mammalia; Primates; Cebidae. The record is from Ensembl.
AAAAAAGAAGAAAUAAUCUUGCUAAGCAUUCUCUUGAUUUCAGAAUUUCUUAGCAAUAGCAGUUGCUGGUGUUUGAGGUCUUCUCUGGGCCAAGGGCAGCACUGGGGUUCCACUGGGCCCCAGAGAAGGGUGAGAGAAGGAUGCUCAGAGCAGGUGUCACGAGAGGAGAGAAUUGGGCUUCCCUGGGAGCAGAGCUCUCGCCGAUCUCCAGCUAGACGUCUGCUGGGCACUGUUUGCAACCUGCCUCUCUGGAAUUACAGAUCCCAGCAGAUGAGGCACAAAGAUAGUUUGCUGAGAACUGAAGACUGAGGACUGGCUGAGUGAAGAUGAAAGCUUUCUUCUUGGAAGAAUGGCACCAGCCACCCUUUAUAUCUCUAGAAAGAGCGAAGAGGAAGAUGCAGCGGGAAGCUUGAUGAUUGCAUCAUAGGAAGUGAUUCCAAGACCUUCCAACCCCUCCCCCAAACCACAGAACCAACACACACCAAUAAACAUCUUUGCUAAGGUCAUCUCUCUGCGUGUUUGGGGUGGAUUGAAAAUCAGGAGAAGAGAUACCUGUAAGUCACUGGAUCCAGGGUCUAGUCCUGCUUUUUCUGUAGACUCUAUGAAUGGCCUUGGGUGAACUUUCUCUUCUUAGUUCAUAAAAUUCAGGAAGAUGAGAUGAGUGAUAUUUCAGGUUCUCUGCAUCUCAGGCAUUUAAAAAUGAAGAAAAUAUAGAAGAAAAAUGAGACACACUGUGGUUCUAAGGGCUUCAUAAUUUUCCUUGAAACCCAUAGAUGGUAUAGGACAAUUACAAAACAUUGCAAUUAAUCUCCAGAAGGACAGGACUGAUCUUGGGACUGGGGGCUUCCUAGACCAAAGACAAGAGCGGGGAGUAGAGUCUGGAUCCAGGGGUCCCUCAUGUCUGGCCUCAUCCCUGAGAACCAUGAGCACUUUGGCAGGCUAUUGAAAUGCUCUAGGCCUCAAUGUUCUCAUAUGUAAAAUGAGAACUACAUAUGUAGUCCUCAUAUGUAAAAUGAGGAGAUAUAACCUACUAUAUAGGGUAGUUAUAAGACUGUGCCGGACCCCAUGGCUCCCGCCUGUAAUCCCAGCACUCUGGGUGGCCAGGGCAGGCAGAUCAUGAGGUCAAGAGAUUGAGACCACCCUGGCCAACAUGUUAAAACACCAUCUCUACUAAAAAUACAAAAGUUAUCUGGGCAUUGUGGUGCACGCCUGUAGUACCAGCUGCUAGUGAGGCUGAGGCAGGAGAAUCGCUUGAACCCAGGACAUGGAGGUUGCAGUGAACUGAGAUUGCACCACUGUACUCCAGCCUAGGCAACAGAGCGAGACUCCGUCUCAAAAAACAAACAAACAAAAGCAAGAGUGAUGUAUGGACCCGCUACAUGGUAAGUCCCCACUCCUCCAUUAUGGUUAUUAAUGGACAGCAGAGAACCUGUUUAUCAUAGUCAUCAGGGGGCAGAAUUUGAGAUGGAGCUUGAAAGAUGAAUACUGAUGAAGCAGGUACAGAGAGGUGAGGAACGAGUCAUAUCCAAGCCUAGGAAAUGAAGAUAAUGGUGGUUUAAAUGCACAUCACACAUGAUCUGAUUCUCAAAUCAGCUGUAUGAAGCCAAUGCUGUGAUUGGCCCUUUUUACAUGUGAGAUGCCAAGGCUCAGAGAAGUUAAGUAACUUGCCCAACAUCACACAGCAAGUAUGUGGCUGAGCUGAGAUGGGAAUCCAUGCAGUCCUGCUCCAGAGCUCAUGUUCUUAAUCCCUAUAUUCUUCAAUGUUAAUAAGAGUCUGGGAAGAGCUUUGACCAUCAGGCUAAUAUCUUUGCACAGUUAGCUGGCAUGAUUUGGUGGCCUUGGAGAACGCAGAGGCUGGGCGCUGUGGCUCGCAUCUGUGAUCCCAGUACUUUGGGAGGCCGAAGCGAGUGGAUCACUUGAGGUCAGGAGUUCGAGACCAGCCUGGCCAAAAUGGUGAAAUCCCAUCUCUUCUGAAAAUACAAAAUUAGCCAGGCCUGGCGGUACACACCUGUAAUCCCAGCUACUUGGGAGGCUGAGGCAGGAGAAUUGCUUGAACCUGUGAGGCGGA